This is a long non-coding RNA of Papaver somniferum (opium poppy), 1029 nucleotides long. RefSeq lists it as uncharacterized. The record is from RefSeq and is a predicted model, not a curated record. Lineage: Eukaryota; Viridiplantae; Streptophyta; Magnoliopsida; Ranunculales; Papaveraceae. The transcript is spliced from 3 exons.
UGCCACAAGUUUGAUUGGCUUGUGGAUUACAUGGCAUCACAUGAGGCUGCUAUGGUCCGUGACCAGAUAAUGAAAUCAUCUUCUAUCCCAAUGCUCAAUCUCUUCCUUCUCCAAAUACACCCUUGAACUCUCCUUAGCUUCACCCAUUAUGUCCAUAUAUCCAUCAAAUUCAGCACAUGUAUAUGACUUGGCUGCAUUCCAAGCCAAACUCUCCAAGUGUUGUCCUAGAUGAUACUUCUUCAUGUUCUUCCAUAUAUGCCUCAUACAAAACCUGUGGUAGUGGUUCACAUCACUAAAGUUGACAUCAACACCAGCUUUGAGUCCCUUCUAUCUAUUAGAGAUAAAGGUUAAGGCCAUUUUAUGUUGCUUCAAAUAUGGUGUCAUAAUUCUCAGAAACUCUAUCCACAUCUCUUUGUUCUCAGAUCUACACAAGAAGAUAGCAAUUGGAAACAAACCAUUGUUUCCAUCCAUAGCAAUGAUAGCUAAUAGCACUUCCAUAUACUUUCCGUUCAAAUAAGUACCAUCUAACCCUAAUAAAGAUGACAACACUGUCAGGAUUUUUCAAUCUAAGUUGAUUACAGAAUUCAGGUUCAUCAUCAAAGUCAGAAUGAUAACCUUCUUCAGGCUCACAAUUAUUGAUGUUUGGUCUAACUGGUGGUACCACUGAAUGUUAUGGCUAUGAAGACUCCACCUGGGUAACUCCCUCAACUUGAAUGGGACCACCAAAUUCACUCAAGAACAUCCACAUUAACUGACCCCGUCACUUGUUCAUUUACAACUUCAGCUACUUCACCAACUGCAUUUACACCUUCAUGUGCGUUACCUGCAUUAACAUAUUCAUGUAUUGAACCUUUUGUUACACCUCUGCAAGGACCUUUCCUUUCACCUCUACAAGCACCUUUCCUUACACCUACAUUUACAACCUUACUGCCAGCUGCAUUUACAACUACUAGCACCUUUACCUUUCCUUACAUCUACAUUUACAGAUUUACAAGCAACUUCAUUUACAGAUUUACUAACAUCUGCAUU